AUUGAACGCUGGCGGAAUGCUUUACACAUGCAAGUCGAACGGCAGCACGGGGGCAACCCUGGUGGCGAGUGGCGAACGGGUGAGUAAUACAUCGGAACGUGCCCAGUCGUGGGGGAUAACGUAGCGAAAGUUACGCUAAUACCGCAUACGAUCUACGGAUGAAAGCGGGGGACCGUAAGGCCUCGCGCGAUUGGAGCGGCCGAUGUCUGAUUAGGUAGUUGGUGAGGUAAAGGCUCACCAAGCCGACGAUCUGUAGCUGGUCUGAGAGGACGACCAGCCACACUGGGACUGAGACACAGCCCAGACUCCUACGGGAGGCAGCAGUGGGGAAUUUUGGACAAUGGGCGCAAGCCUGAUCCAGCCAUUCCGCGUGCAGGACGAAGGCCUUCGGGUUGUAAACUGCUUUUGUACGGAACGAAAAGGCUCUGGUUAAUACCUGGGGCUCAUGACGGUACCGUAAGAAUAAGCACCGGCUAACUACGUGCCAGCAGCCGCGGUAA
RNAcentral lists this ribosomal RNA (500 nucleotides) under uncultured bacterium. Its description in RNAcentral is "partial 16S ribosomal RNA". It matches the Rfam family "Bacterial small subunit ribosomal RNA", at positions 30 to 523 of the family's 1533-position model. The record is from RNAcentral.